AUGACCUCCACCAUGGCCUGGUCCCCUCUCCUCCUCAGCCUCCUCGCUCACUGCACAGGGUCCUGGGCCCAGUCUGUGCUGACUCAGCCGUCCUCCGUGUCUGGGGCCCUGGGCCAGAGGGUCACCAUCUCCUGCACUGGAAGCAGCUCCAACAUCGGUGCUUAUUAUGUGUACUGGUUCCAACAACUCCCAGGAAAAGCGCCCAGAACCAUCAUCUAUGGUAAUAGCUAUCGACCCUCAGGGGUCCCCGAUAGAGUCUCUGGCUCCAGGUCUGGCAGCUCAGGCACCCUGACCAUCACUGGGCUCCAGGCGGAGGACGAGGCUGAGUCUUACUGUGCAUCGUGGGAGGAUAGUCUCAGCGCUCACACAGCGCUCCCGGCCUGA
Odobenus rosmarus divergens (Pacific walrus) is the source of this 384-nucleotide non-coding RNA. The record is from the annotation of a RefSeq genome assembly. NCBI's taxonomy places the organism in Eukaryota, Metazoa, Chordata, Mammalia, Carnivora, Odobenidae.